This 296-nucleotide unclassified non-coding RNA is filed under the name uncultured Inocybe. Its description in RNAcentral is "sequence contains ITS2". The stretch from base 1 to 52 matches the Rfam family "5.8S ribosomal RNA", at positions 103 to 154 of the family's 154-position model. The record is from RNAcentral. Lineage: Eukaryota; Fungi; Basidiomycota; Agaricomycetes; Agaricales; Cortinariaceae.
AACGCAUCUUGCGCUCCUUGGUAUUCCGAGGAGCAUGCCUGUUUGAGUGUCAUUAAAGUUCUCAACCAUGCCAGUUUUCUCUGGUCAUGGCUUUGGAUUUGGGGGGGUUUAUCCUUUUGCUGGCUUUAGAAAUGAAGUCAGCUCCCCUGAAAUGCAUUAGUAGUAUCUAAGCAGAAACUACGAUAGGUGUGAUAAAUUAUCUAUGCCUUUGUAUCAACUGCAUGCACUGCUUUCUCUAACAAAAAUGUUUUGACAAAUUUGACCUCAAAUCAGGCAGGACUACCCGCUGAACUUAA